AGUGAACGCUGGCGGCAUGCCUAACACAUGCAAGUCGAGCGGAAGCACGGUGAGCUUUUUCUCCUACGGUUGGCGAGGGGCGGGUGGGUGACGAAUAGAUCGCAUUCUUAUUUUACUUGGGUGACUUCGGGGAGCAGCAUCCGCUAACAGCGCAUAUGAUCUACGGCAUAGAUCAGUAGAUCUUGGGAGUUUUCGUGUCUGAUUUAGACGAUGUCGGAUUAGCUAGUUGGGGGGGUAAAGUCCCACCAAGGCAACGAUCCGUAGCUGGUCUGAGAGGAUGAUCAGCCACACUGGAACUGAGACACGGUCCAGACUCCUACGGGAGGCAGCAGUGGGGAAUAUUGGGCAAUGGGCGAAAGCCUGAUCCAGCAAUACCGCGUGGGUGAAGAAGGCCUUCGGGUUGUAAAGCCCUUUUGUUGGGAAAGAAAAGAAGCAGGUGUAUACACCGACGUUCUGACGGUACCUAAAGAAUAAGCACCGGCUAACUUCGUG
This 492-nucleotide ribosomal RNA is filed under the name uncultured bacterium. RNAcentral describes it as "partial 16S ribosomal RNA". It matches the Rfam family "Bacterial small subunit ribosomal RNA", at positions 29 to 507 of the family's 1533-position model. The record is from RNAcentral.